GAAGAAUUAUCUACACAGAUGCAACAACUGGUUGCCCAAAUGAAUAAUUUUUUCACUCAUCAACAGACUGCUCCUCCGGUGACGUCAUCCACAGCUGAGAAUUUGCCUGUCAAUACUCCAGCUGAUGACCCAGGUCAGGCUGUUUCCUCCCCGUUACGGCUGGCUCUUCCGGAGAGAUUUUCCGGAGACUCUUCGAAUUGCAGAGCCUUUCUGGCUUCCUGAUUGUUUUCACCUGUCAUCACACCUGUCUCCUAUGCUCAUCAGUGUCAGCCCGCCCUGAUUGGUCCCACCUGUGUCUUGUUACCAUGUGCUUAAAUUCCCCUGUCUCCCAGUGUUCCUUGUCAGUUCGUCUGGUCUUUUGCCAUGAUCAGGUCGGGUUAUGUUGUGCUCUUGAAAAGUUUUUGAUCCCUCACUACGUGAGCGCUUUCAUUUUGUUCACUGCAGAACCGAAAAAUAAAGUACUUACAAAUACUUUA
Long non-coding RNA from Pseudoliparis swirei, 476 nucleotides. RefSeq lists it as uncharacterized. The transcript has 2 exons. The record is from RefSeq and is a predicted model, not a curated record. NCBI's taxonomy places the organism in Eukaryota, Metazoa, Chordata, Actinopteri, Perciformes, Liparidae.